This 369-nucleotide ribosomal RNA is filed under the name uncultured bacterium. RNAcentral's name for it is "bacterial SSU rRNA". It matches the Rfam family "Bacterial small subunit ribosomal RNA", at positions 527 to 896 of the family's 1533-position model. The record is from RNAcentral.
GUAGGGUGCAAGCGUUAAUCGGAAUUACUGGGCGUAAAGCGUGCGCAGGCGGUUUUGUAAGACUGUCGUGAAAUCCCCGGGCUCAACCUGGGAAUGGCGAUGGUGACUGCAAGGCUAGAGUUUGGCAGAGGGGGGUAGAAUUCCACGUGUAGCAGUGAAAUGCGUAGAUAUGUGGAGGAACACCGAUGGCGAAGGCAGCCCCCUGGGUCAAAACUGACGCUCAUGCACGAAAGCGAGGGGAGCAAACAGGAUUAGAUACCCUGGUAGUCCACGCCCUAAACGAUGUCUACUAGUUGUCGGGUCUUAAUUGACUUGGUAACGCAGCUAACGCGUGAAGUAGACCGCCUGGGGAGUACGGUCGCAAGAUUA